AACGAACGCUGGCGGCAGGCUUAACACAUGCAAGUCGAGCGAGACCUUCGGGUCUAGCGGCGGACGGGUGCGUAACGCGUGGGAACGUGCCCUUCUCUACGGAAUAGCUCCGGGAAACUGGGAGUAAUACCGUAUACGCCCUUUGGGGGAAAGAUUUAUCGGAGAAGGAUCGGCCCGCGUUGGAUUAGGUAGUUGGUGGGGUAAUGGCCCACCAAGCCGACGAUCCAUAGCUGGUUUGAGAGGAUGAUCAGCCACACUGGGACUGAGACACGGCCCAGACUCCUACGGGAGGCAGCAGUGGGGAAUCUUAGACAAUGGGGGCAACCCUGAUCGAGCCAUGCCGCGUGAGUGAUGAAGGCCUUAGGGUUGUAAAGCUCUUUUAGCUGGGAAGAUAAUGACGGUACCAGCAGAAGAAGCCCCGGCUAACUCCGUG
This 433-nucleotide ribosomal RNA is filed under the name uncultured bacterium. RNAcentral's name for it is "partial 16S ribosomal RNA". It matches the Rfam family "Bacterial small subunit ribosomal RNA", at positions 29 to 507 of the family's 1533-position model. The record is from RNAcentral.